Long non-coding RNA from Cyprinus carpio carpio, 1173 nucleotides. Lineage: Eukaryota; Metazoa; Chordata; Actinopteri; Cypriniformes; Cyprinidae. The record is from Ensembl.
AGCCCUGCUGGCUGGCUGCUCUUGGGUUGUUAGGACGACGGGUCAACCAGUCCACGCCCUGCCGCAUGAUCCGAGUGGCUUUACCUCACAACAAGGGUAAGCACAGCUGUACAAGCUGGCUUGGGGCCAGAUGGAUUCUGGAUACUCCAACUUUCUGAGUAGUCCACAUGCAUUCAUUUUCAUAACAGUUUGGCAAAAGAAAACUCACACCCAUUCGCAUGACAGAGCUCAAUUUUUCGAUGAAGGAACGGUUAAAAAUCCUUUUUGUUUAGUUCUGUUGUUAAAGUAAUGUAGUUUAAAGUAUCAUUGUAAGUUAUGUAUGGGUUUGUUCUUCGCCCUUAUGAUCAUUAAAACCAACUCCUUUUGGAUUUUCGUCUGGCAACCCUUCAUUUGAAGAUAUGACGUCUUACAAUCUAUUGCUGAGUGGGGCAUUCAGUAAAUUACUCUAGCCUACAUCACUGAUAGUGAAAUGUUAAAACAUCACUAUAGUCGAGCUUUUAAAUUGGUAGACCUAAUGUAACAUAUAUGCUCAAAAUUUAAAUAAAACCACUUUUAAAAACGAUCUCUUAUUUAAUCGAUGAUUAAAGGAAUUAAGCAGGCUUUUAAUAUAAAACGUUACACCACAACACCAUGAUUGUAUUAUAAACCAAUAAAAAAUAACCCCAAUGUGUCACUCCAUACCAUCAAACAUGUAGGCCUUCUCCAGUUCAAACCCAUUAUUAUCACGCAAUCACCAACAGAGGGCACAAUUGCACUAUUAUCUCUUUCGAUUUGUUGACAACAGACAUUUGUCUGGCUAUCUGUCUGUAUGUCUUUCUGCCUGUCUGUUCCAUAUCUUUAAUAUUACUUGAAAGUUGAUUGGGUUUUAAAUUUGAACAUGGAAGAGCCCCUUAAAAACCUCACAUGGCAUUUCAGUUUUUUGGGUGAACUAUCCCUUUAAGGCUCAACACAAACCACACCAAAGUGUUUAGACAUUUUGCAUCAAGUUUGUAUGACAUUCUUUAGACAGAGGUGUAGAUACGCUCGCUCAGUAGAUACCUAUGGACGGCAGAGUCGGCGUCAGAGCAGAUCUACUGGAGGGGCAUUGGAUCAUCGGCGGGGGGGCACUGUCGUUUGAUAAAUAUUUUUUUGACGCAUUGGCAACAUCAUAGUAGCAUGGAAAUCCAGACCUAA